This is a long non-coding RNA of Daphnia pulex (common water flea), 887 nucleotides long. RefSeq lists it as uncharacterized. The transcript is spliced from 2 exons. The record is from RefSeq and is a predicted model, not a curated record. NCBI's taxonomy places the organism in Eukaryota, Metazoa, Arthropoda, Branchiopoda, Diplostraca, Daphniidae.
AUGUACCUCAAAUCGGCAUAGUCAAAUCACUUGGUUAAGUAGCCUAGUGUCUGGAGUAACGUUAUUCGUUUGCUGACGAUGGCAUCGCAUCAAUUAAACGGGAAUGCGGCCGCCACAAUUGCCAUUGUAGUCCUGGUGAUGUUUGUGUCGGUGAUGGCUCAGUCAGGUGAAACGGACUGUUCUAGUCAGUCAUAUAGAGAGGAAAGCUUGAACAUAGAGAAGCCUGAGCCGAUUCCUCAUUUUUUACAAGAAUGUAUUGCCACCAACCAAAUCCAGUCUGAGGGUACUCUCUUUUUCGGGGGGAUAAGCCCAGCACCGCAUCGAGCAUCAGGCAGCACCAGGAAUCUUUUGUGUCACCUCCUCAUUGGAAUUUGCAGCAUUCUGGGCCUCGUUUUGGGGCGUCCCUAGAGUCGAGAAAAAGCUGAGACCGUUCUUCUGAAAAUCAACAAGUGGCUAGGGUUUUCAGGUGUUUAUAUAUUCUUAUGCGUCUCCUGUAGGCUUGUCGGAAUAUUGUCUUGUGGCAUCAAUUUAUUCUUCAAGCUACUGGUCUGAAACCCUUGCAGGAUUAAACUGUUAAUUGAGCAGUUAUUAUUAUUAAUAACGCAAUUUACCGCAAGCCUAAAUUUUAGUUCUGCUUCGAUUGAGUUUCUGUUUUCUCUCUUUUUUUCCCGUUCAUAUUGCAUCAACGAUUAUUGAAAUAUUAUAUUAUAUACACCAGAAAGUGCCGAAGUUGUGGGGGCAAAAAAGGUCCCUCCCUCCUGGCGCUUGAUGUUUUUCGAAUAAAAAUUAUAUUUUCUUUUCCCCUCCAAUCUGAGACGAUUCAUUUUUUCUGUUAACUCAUUUUAUUUUUAAAAUAAUUAAUAACUCUACCACCGCUUAUCAAUGAA